UGGGACAACGUUUAAAUGCGAGAACUGGAGGAUGGUCCUGUAUCGUGAAGCAAUUCCUCCCCAGAUUGUUCAUUUGGUCGAAGUGUUUAACCCUCCCAGAUAGAUGAGAACCAUCCCUUGUCAAGGACAUGAGUGACUAUGAAGGCUGGCUGCAAACUCAAAAAAGGACUGAGUCAGAAGGCUCUGAGCUGCACGCCAGGGGGUUCACGAAGACUAAGAUAUAGAUCUGAUCUCAUGGAACUCAAUUUCUCUUAGAGGAAGCUGGCUGGACAAGAACUAAUGGCACCUGUCUAUAUAAACACACUGCACUCCAGGUGAAUAGUAUGCCCAAACAGAGGCCACAGAGAUGAACAAACUCACCUCUUGAAUGGGGAAAAGAUGAGCGGAUCGACUCAUAGGGCAAUACAAAAAUGACAGCAUUCAGGAUGUUAAGGGUUCCGAGAAGCGGCAAAGCUAAUGCUCUGAAGGAGGAAAAGAAAUAUGUUGCGAUGUUCUCAAGACGUAUAUCAAAGAUGUUUCAGUCCCCAUGGUUUUGGGAGGUUUGGCCAGCUUCUUUACUGCAUCCUGUUUUAUCUGCGGAGUCUGCUGAACUCCUAUCUCACAGCAUUUGCCUCUGAGUACAGCAGAUGUCAACAAGGUUUUGAACUGUUUGCUCUCAGUUCCAUAUUCUUCCUGUCCCCCCAGGAUUCAUUAGAUUCUCACCUGGGCUUCAGUAAACGAAUUUUGCAUGGAGAGUUUCAGAUGAUGUUCAGUGACAAAUUUGUACCUCAGACAACUUGGGAUUCAGAAGAAUAUUUCAAAAGGACUGCAUAAUGUAAACACUCUUGAGACAGAUGACCAAUUUGUUUCCUGCAGUUUGUUCGCAUUUACACACUUCUAACAAUAUGGAGAUGUAUGUCUCACUGAAAUCAUGAUGACAACAGAGUUUUUUGCUUCUGUCUGCCAAUUUUUCCUUUGGGGCACUCAUGGGUAGAAACUGGAACCACUGUCUUGAAUCAAAAGAUGGAAGAAGCUUCUCUUGAAGAUUAAAGGGACACAAGACAGAAGUUGUCUGUGUCCCUGAGGGCUUAGCAGAGGAGACUUGACCUACUUUCUUGGGCUUGUUGUGACAUCUAUUUAUAAUUGCAUCUUUGGUAACUUUUCUGAAGAAAAUAAACAUUAGACUCGGUCAGAGAAUAAUGGUGAAAAGGUUGCCCUGGAAAAAGUGAUAAGGAACAGCCUUUUUGGGAUGGUGAAUAUGAAGAGUAUGAAUUACAAUGUUCCUGAAAAGAUUGUGUGACUGCAAAAAUACCCUUUGAAGUAGUUGGUCCAGAAACACUGAAGGUUUGUAUAGAAGAGACAGACCUUCCACCCUGUCUCUUCUAUCACACAGCAAUGACUGAUAAACUGGAAAAUUUAAAGAAGACAUAAAGGCUAAAUUCCAUGACAAAUCAUGUCAGUGGACUAGUCUAAAUGGAAGUGCAAAACAGUAAGUGUGCACUGAAGUGCAAAACCAACUGAGUUCUACAUGACCGAAUAUAAGCAUAGAUCGCCAGGAAUUCAGCUCCUACAAAGAAAAUUGGAACCAAUGUGUAUUGACCCUUGCCAAAAAGUAGAGACUGUUUUGGCUAUGAAAAUAGUCCUGGUCACAGCUCCCACCAAAAAAUGAAAACUUAAAAAUAAUGAUAAUUUUAAAAGCUGGGAUGUAUUUUUUAGGGCCGAGGAAAGUUUCGCACUGAGUUACUUGAGAUAAUGGGAGAAAACUAAGACAACUGUGCAGCCACCACAGGUAACUCAGGAACUGGAUAGUAUGCCCAGUUAGGAUUAGAGACUUGAGAUGUCUUAUGUAGCAAUAAACUGAGGCUAUCAGUGGCAUGCAAAGUAAACCCAAAGAAAGCAGAAAGGAAAUAAAAAGUACUAAAGGUAAAAUCAGUAAUUUUAAAAAGAAUAUAUAACCCAAUAGAAUCAAAGUUUAGUUCUCCAAAAAGACAAAUAAAAUGGAUGAACUUUGGCAUAAAUAAAUAAAAAUAAUUAAUACUAAGGUAUUAAUUUAAUAUAGCAUAUAAGUCUGUAUUGAAAUAUUAAAUAUAAUACAAAAUUUAAAAUGAAUAAAGAACAAAAGAGAAGACACGAAUUACUGAUAGUAGAAAUAAAAAUGAGAACAUAAUCAUAGAUCCUACAGACAUUAAAAAGACAAUACAUGAUGCCUAAAAGACUACAUGCGUGAGACCAGCUGGUCUGCUCUCCAGCAAAUCAACCCGAGGGAAACUCGGGGGGAGAAGGAAAACUCGAUGCAGACUCAUAAAAAGUACUUAAGACAGAUGGAUCCUGGAGGUUACCAGUAUGAAGGAUUGAACAGGUUGGUAUUUCUGAUUACCUUCAUUGUAACUGAUAUUGUAAAG
This 2381-nucleotide long non-coding RNA is filed under the name Homo sapiens (human). Its description in RNAcentral is "long non-coding RNA NONHSAT216806.1". The record is from RNAcentral. Lineage: Eukaryota; Metazoa; Chordata; Mammalia; Primates; Hominidae.